AAAGUGAGAAUAAAUUCCUGCGAUACUUCUCAAAACAAAAUAUACCCAUGUGGUGCAUCUUCAUAGACCCCGUGUCAUCUCCUAGGCAUGGCCUUAUUGGGUGAGUCAUCGACCGCUAUUCUCCAUAAUCGUCUGUAUUUAAGGAAGCAGAACGAGAUUAUCAUCCACUUAAAUUACCUCAGAUUGGUACGAGUAAGUUCACAAAGCAGAAGUAUGACAAAAGACUCUACUCAUUUUAUUGCUUUCGAAAUUCUCUUACAAUGAUCCUAAAAUAUGAAAAAAGAGAAAUACAAAAAUUACAGUGCGAUGCCUGGAGCUGAGGUGUCGGUCGCUGAGACAUCCGUUACAGUAGGAUCUCAGAUUUCAUCUAAAAAAUUCAAAUCCAGAUCCGAAUAUUUGACAGCAACUCGGAUUCAGAUAGACUACCUUCCGGCAUCAUAGGCAUCGAUAGAAUACCCAGCUCUUUUUUCCUCGUAUUCUUCUGAGGCCCGAAAGUCCUCCACAUCCUUAGAAGUGGUCUCGACUGUCCGUUUCUCUUCUGCCCCC
Molecule: long non-coding RNA, 546 nt
Filed under: Elaeis guineensis (African oil palm)
Lineage: Eukaryota; Viridiplantae; Streptophyta; Magnoliopsida; Arecales; Arecaceae
Description: long non-coding RNA (EGUI_LNC038058)
Source: RNAcentral